Molecule: ribosomal RNA, 491 nt
Filed under: uncultured bacterium
Lineage: Bacteria
Description: partial 16S ribosomal RNA
Rfam family: Bacterial small subunit ribosomal RNA
Source: RNAcentral
AGUGAACGCUGGCGGUAGGCCUAACACAUGCAAGUCGAACGGCAGCACAGUAAGAGCUUGCUCUUACGGGUGGCGAGUGGCGGACGGGUGAGGAAUACAUCGGAAUCUACUUUUUCGUGGGGGAUAACGUAGGGAAACUUACGCUAAUACCGCAUACGACCUACGGGUGAAAGCAGGGGAUCUUCGGACCUUGCGCGAUUGAAUGAGCCGAUGUCGGAUUAGCUAGUUGGCGGGGUAAAGGCCCACCAAGGCGACGAUCCGUAGCUGGUCUGAGAGGAUGAUCAGCCACACGGGAACUGAGACACGGUCCAGACUCCUACGGGAGGCAGCAGUGGGGAAUAUUGGACAAUGGGCGCAAGCCUGAUCCAGCCAUACCGCGUGGGUGAAGAAGGCCUUCGGGUUGUAAAGCCCUUUUGUUGGGAAAGAAAAGCAGCAGGUUAAUACCCCGCUGUCCUGACGGUACCCAAAGAAUAAGCACCGGCUAACUUCGU